GUACGGCGAGUGAAGCGGCAACAGCUCAAAUUUGAAAUCUGGCUCUUUUAGAGUCCGAGUUGUAAUUUGCAGAGGGCGCUUUGGCUUUGGCAGCGGUCCAAGUUCCUUGGAACAGGACGUCACAGAGGGUGAGAAUCCCGUACGUGGUCGCUGGCUAUUGCCGUGUAAAGCCCCUUCGACGAGUCGAGUUGUUUGGGAAUGCAGCUCUAAAUGGGAGGUACAUUUCUUCUAAAGCUAAAUAUUGGCCAGAGACCGAUAGCGCACAAGUAGAGUGAUCGAAAGAUGAAAAGCACUUUGGAAAGAGAGUCAAACAGCACGUGAAAUUGUUGAAAGGGAAGCGCUUGCAGCCAGACUUGCUUACAGUUGCUCAUCCGGGUUUCUACCCGGUGCACUCUUCUGUAGGCAGGCCAGCAUCAGUUUGGGCGGUAGGAUAAAGGUCUCUGUCACGUACCUCCUUUCGGGGAGGCCUUAUAGGGGAGACGACAUACUACCAGCCUGGACUGAGGUCCGCGCAUCUGCUAGGAUGCUGGCGUAAUGGCUGUAAGCGGCCCGUCUUGACCACGGACC
This 567-nucleotide ribosomal RNA is filed under the name Alternaria tenuissima. RNAcentral's name for it is "eukaryotic LSU rRNA". It matches the Rfam family "Eukaryotic large subunit ribosomal RNA", at positions 83 to 667 of the family's 3401-position model. Lineage: Eukaryota; Fungi; Ascomycota; Dothideomycetes; Pleosporales; Pleosporaceae. The record is from RNAcentral.